Non-coding RNA from Pelobates cultripes (western spadefoot toad), 709 nucleotides. NCBI's taxonomy places the organism in Eukaryota, Metazoa, Chordata, Amphibia, Anura, Pelobatidae. The record is from the annotation of a GenBank genome assembly.
UUUUGUUGUUUGUUUUAUCCCCCUCUGAAGUAAGUCUUGGCAUGCGUGUGGAGGUGCAUAAUCAUACGACCUGGCAGGAGGUGUCUUUUCCUGCUCUUCAUUGCGGAUCGUGAUGGGCGGUCUCUUUCCUUUUUCAGUAUGUCCACGGUGUUAUAGUCCAAGAAUCACUUCUCGCUGUCCUGCUACCUUGGCUUGAGGCAAUGGGGUUAUGGAGCAGGUCUGUCGGGGCCUGAUGUUGGGUGGGAGGAGCUAGCUGUAGUUCUCGGUUUGGGUAAGUCCAUUCUGUGUUGGGUGCGGAGUUAACCUCUUGACAUCUCUGGGGGGGACCUAGCUGUUGUCGUGCCUUCUUCAUGGUCUCUGAGCUGGUGGAUGGUCACUCCUUCCGUGGUCAUCGGUGGAACCCAUUCUUUGCCUCUUGGGGGGUGAGCGUCUUCUCUGUUCCCUCGGAGGUCGCGUGUAGGUCUGCGCUGGGUCCAUGGCGUACCAAUCCAUGAUGCGCACCUCUGUGAGUUUCAGUGCCCUGAGGAAUGGUGACACAUCCCUGUGUUCUGCUAUGAUGUGGUUGGUCCCUUUAAGUGUAACAAUAAGGGCCAAGGGGAAGCCCCAUCUAUAUUUGAUGUUUCUGGCCCGCAGUUGGUCUGUGAUCGGCUUUAGGUGUCGCCUUGCUUGGAGAGUGAGCCAUGAGAGAUCUUGGUAAAUCUGGAUCUCG